CUCGCUCACAAGCUUAUGAAUAAUUAUAUUGCAGCGAAUGCGUUACGACAGGCACUGUCAUUGUGUGAAUAAUUAAUGAUAUAGUGAUCCAAGCAUUACGUCGAGUUUGCCGUAAGCUUACCUCAUAGCCAUCAUAAGCCAGGUACGCUGACGGAAGGGUAACGUAACCACACGGAAGAGCCAAAAAGUACUAUGGAGGAAUACAAACACAAAAGAAGCAGCAGUAACAACAGAAGACAGUUUUGUCAUGUAAAUGGCCUUGGGCAAAAGUCUUUAUAACUGCAAUAACAUAAGUUAGUGGAAACAGUGUCAGGCUUUCCCAGAUGGAGACAAUAUAGUGAGAUUAUUCACCCAGUGUUUAUUCACAAGAUUGACCAAAUCUUAUUUAGAUGACCAAAUUAUGAACAAUGACCCACCCUGAGGCUGUAAGAGUGUGCCUGAUGAGAGAAUGCAUACUUGAACCAGUUAUAAGACUUAAUAUAUUCAAGAAGACCAAGCGAUCCUUAUAGGACUACAUGCAAAGCAAUGUACUCCAGGCCGCACAACUGGACAUACAAAUUGUGCCCUGAUGCCAUCUGCCCCGUUCUCCCAGCCUCAUCUUCCCUCUCUAUGCCUAGCUUUAAAUCGGUUGGCUCUUCUUUUGGCUCUCUUCAUCCCGUCUGCCUGCCUCGCUGCUCUCCCUGAUAACAUUUCCUGACUGAUGCCUUGCACUCUGACUCUUUCUGCAAGGUGCCAUUCUGAGCAGUGACUCAAUUUAGUGCCACUCUGCUGCUUGGCAUUGCACUUCUGAGGUCAUCACCAUCUUUCUUCAGCCAACCAAAAUGAUUCUCACCAACCACCCCAGCUCUGCUAAGCUUGAUGUUGGAGGUCUGCUGUUUUUGAAGCAGGGGACCACUGUCCAUUAAAGGCUUCAUAAACCAUUUAACAAAAUCACAUAAGAUAGGGUAGUUCAUACUCCAUGCGAUGUGCCAUACAAUGGAAGGGCCAUGUUCCUUAUCACAUCUGGAUGCUGCAAAGCUCCUGUCUCCUCAACAAUUUACGAACUAAUCAAUUAUUAAAUGAAGAAAUGCUAUGUAAAUGCAAAGAUAUUUCUUCCUGUGGAAUUUGAGUCUUAAAUUUAGUAAUUACUGUUUUAUGGCAUAAAUAAAAGUUAAAUAUAUUAUUUUAAAAGCAUCAUGUAUCUUUUUUCAUUCCUAAUGUAUUCUACUAGUAGUGUGUCAGGCACUUUAACCCUUAUGAAAAAAGCCAAGGAAAAUAGAGAGCAUCAUAUCAAAACAACUGUUUAUUUGCACAUGCAACAUUAAACUAUGGUAUACAUCUCUGUUUUCCUAACAAUACUGAAAAGGAUGAGUAUUUAGAGUCUACAGUACUGCUUGCUCAAUCUCCAGCAAAGAUAAAAACAUCCUAAGAAAAAGGACUCAUUCACAUAGUAUUCCUCUUUUUACAACCGCGACACAUUUUACACAGACAACACAGCAUCUGGAGGACGUAUAUGAUCCUCACCAGUGUUAUUUAUUGUUUUUUCCUGUGUGUGUCUAAUGAUAAUAAAAAAAUUAUAAUUGAUCAAUUAUACUUUGAAGGAUAAAGCAAAACUACUAUAUUUACUAUAAAGCUAUCUAAACCAAUAGCAGCUUCAUAAGACUUAAGGUGGUUAUCAAAGGAACUAACAAACAAAUAUAAUGCAUAUGGGUUGACCUGUGAAAACAUAAUGUCCUGUUUUCAUUUGUCAGUUACCAGUUAGGCUUUAGAAACAUGAUAAAGUUAAAGUGUAUUUAAAAAUAUAGUUUGAAGAAAUUUGUGAAAGUGGUCAUGAAUUUCAAGGGUUGAAUGAUUAUAGUUAACUGUUUAAAAAUAUGUAGUUGUAGCCUACUAAUGCUUUUAUAAAAUGCUCAAAAUAUAUUUUAGAUUACAUCCUGUGAUAUCCAAGCCUUCUUUGUUUCUGUGUUUUCAAAGCUCCACACCAGUAGGUGGUGGUAAAGAAAACAGUGUAGGUACGCGUUAACACGUGAUUUACGUGUUAACACGCACUUACGCGUUAACACGUAGUGCGUGUUAACACGUGAUUUACGCGUUAACACGUGGUGCGUGUUAACACGUAUUUUUAACACGUUUUUUCCCUGUUGGCCUUCCAUAAUAGGCGACGUAUGUAUCAGGCGUGUUGUAAGGCGACGUACAUAGUUCAGACGUACUUAGUACACGUAUUUUUUUAGUACAUUUCGAACAUGCGCCGUCGUCACGUCGCCGCCGGUAAACGAUUCUUCCAUGCACUCGCCGUGACGUCACCGCCGGUCUUACGUCUGCAGUCCCUAUCAAAUCCAUUCAAAACUCCACACGGACUGGCGGCGACGGAAGGUUAGGCUGCUCCUUAUCCUUCUCCAGGUUAGGCUUUGAAUUGGCAGCAUCCACUCGCCAUACUACUCCAGCCCAAAGAUUAGUGUAGCCACUAGCCGUUUCUCAAUGUCAAGGAUACUUCCUUGGCAGGACUAGUCCUUACAAGUCACUUCUUUCAGAGGCGAGGCGAGGCUCCUUUUAAGCAUUCGGAGAACACGUUAAAUGGAACAGGCUAGCAAGUGCACGUCAUUACGUCAUUACGUGAUUGAAAGGUGUGCUUUCGGUGCUGCGCGCAGAGGAUUGUGGGUGAUUUCAGCGCGUGAAGAGCGCGAAGGAUACAAAUUUGCAUCCUUUCCUGUAUAUGGGAUAUUUGUCGAACGAAGGACUCAGUCCUUGGCUGAAAUUUCGAGGAUCCUCGACAUUGGAACAGUCCUUCGACGGACGUCGAUGACGUAGCAUCCUCGAAAUUCUAGCUUCCGAGGAUCCUUCCUUGACAUUGGGAAACGGCUCUUGUGUCCGGCUUCACGUGGCUUAGCGUUAACCAGUAUGACAUCACAGUACCGCGUGAUUACGUGAUCACUCUCGCGGUACUUCAAUGUCUGCGCAUGUCUGCAUGAAGUCAACCACUCAUGCUUGUAACAGGGGUAGCGUUUGUGCGCUCAGUGAUUUAGGGUGUUACAAAACAAGAUUAUUACAUUAAUAUUAUCAAUUAGUAUUGUAAUAAACCUUUUUAAAUGUUUGUUAAUGAUUAAGUGUCAUUAACAAACUCUGAUUUAAAACAUCAAUAUAUAUAUGCUACGUAAAUUUUCCUUAAAUCAUCAAAACAUCCAAAUUCAAUGAAACAAAAACAACAACAAUCUAUUUAAGAUGAGACACAUUCAGCAUUUAUAAUUUUUUCUCUCUUUUUUGUUUGACUUUGUUUUCUACAGUAGCCUGUUAACAGUAGACCAAAGAUAUGAUGAUCAAUUAUAAAUGCAAUAUGGUUGAAAGCUUGACAAAAAUGUAGCUUGAAGGAGAAAGUCCUGGUACGCAGACGAUGAUACUAUUACACUGACAAGAGUGUAAUGAUGAUGGAGACACAAGCCAGAGAAAGGGGGGACCAAACACCAGGCCAGAAUUCUGCAUGAGUCAGAUCCAGUGGGUGCAGAUCAUCAUACAGAUGGUUCAAGUGUGGAUCCACCUAAUAUUCAAGCUCCAGUGGGCAUCCUUUAUCCAUCCAGACCCUCAUACAGAUGGUUGGAGUUUUGAUUCACCUAAAGUACCAUGCAAGAGCACUCAUUUUCCCUCUUGAGACCAUGGUGUGACCUGCAAGGUCGAAUGGAGACUGUAAACGAGACAAUCUUGGAGUCACCUGCAUUCACUGGUCCAGUUGUUAGUCCAAUUACAGAUGGAGAUUAUAGAAGAGGAUGAUGUCUUUUCUCCAACAUCUUUCUAGACUGAUAAAAGAUCUAGACAGGCUCAAACAAAAGUUAACAGAGGGGCUUAUAUAGAGAAUGGUGAGCAGCUACACAUAAAAGAAGAACAUGGAGAAUCUACCCAGAGGUGUUAACCAGCAAUGCAGCUAUACAACUAAAUUGAUGCAGGCGGAAACAAUGUGUAAUGCAGCUGCUGCAGAUGAAGAAUCCGUCCGUCUAGCACUGAAGGAGACGCGGAAAAUCGGGAAAAGAUGUUCUUUGCCCGAGGAAGCAUUUGAUUAAUUUAAAGAUAUUGUGUUUCUUUGUAUGUUAUAGGAAAACG
Paramisgurnus dabryanus is the source of this 4068-nucleotide long non-coding RNA. RefSeq lists it as uncharacterized. The record is from RefSeq and is a predicted model, not a curated record. NCBI's taxonomy places the organism in Eukaryota, Metazoa, Chordata, Actinopteri, Cypriniformes, Cobitidae.